AAGGUUAAGAAGAAGAAGAAGAAGAAGAAAGACUCGCUCGUCCGUUCACUGGUGACUGAUACGGUAUAGGAAACUACAACAACGAUGGCCGAAAACGAAGCCAGCUCGUUCGACGAAGGUAGUGAAUAUUCGUCUCCGGCAGAAGCACCGGGUGAGU
Molecule: long non-coding RNA, 157 nt
Organism: Dermacentor albipictus
Lineage: Eukaryota; Metazoa; Arthropoda; Arachnida; Ixodida; Ixodidae
Source: RefSeq, a predicted model, not a curated record